CUGCGCAGUCAACAACCGGAGGUGGAUCACUUGACCUUCCGUGCUCAUCCGCGCGUGCCGACUUUCUCUUUUUUUUCCGUUAUCCCCGAACGAACUCUGUCCCUUUUUCCCCUCCUGAGAUUAAAAUUUUUUUUUUCUCCGUUAGUGACCCUCCUCAUCAUCGCCCACCCUUGUUUCUCCGAGUGAGCAUUCCUUCCCAUUUUCUCGUCUUCAUCUGCAUCACUAUGUCGAACUGGGCAGAUGCCGCGCAGGACGAGGAGCAGUACCAGGCAGCGUACGGCUCCGACGACAACGACAGCUACUCCGAGUACCAGGAGCCGAAGCCGUCAUGGGAUACUGCCAAGACGGAGAUCACCUUCGAGGUGGACGCCGAUGGCAACCGCUUCGAGGUGAUGCGGAAGGUGCGCUCGUACCACGUCGAUCGCCCGGUCACGAUGGCGGACAUUCGCGCGAAGCUCGCGCACUUUGGCAAGGGCAAGGGCGACCAGUCCACUCUCGUCUCGGCGGAGCCGCCGCUGGCGCUUGAGAUGGGCUCAGUCGACCAGUUCGAGCGCGAGAGCCGUGCGGAGGUGAAGCGUAUGAUUCACGAGGCUAGCGGUAUCGACGUCGCUGUCAAGGACGAGCACCUGCGUAUUGUGCGCGAGAUGGAGGAGAAGGCGAAAAAGGAUCCAAGGGUAGUGCGCAGCGGCGCCGGCUCCACCUGGGGCGCGAUUGCGUCCAAGUCUACGGACAACCGCGAACAGUCAACCACCGGCAUCCGUAUUCGCAACUUGUCCGACGACAUCACGCAGGAGAACCUGUCCCGCAUUUUCGAGGGUCGCGGGUGGAUCACGAAGAACGUGCGCAUUCCUCGCGGCGACAACAACCAGACGCGCGGUUUCGCGUUUGUGAUCUUCGAGGAGGCGUGGAUGGCGGAUGCGGCCAUCAAGGAAGGCAAGUUCCACUUCAAAAAUGUGGUGCUGGACGUCUCGCGUGCCGAGACCCGCACGUAAGUUGCCGAGAAUGCUUCUCCCCCCUCCGUUCCUUCCUCAUGCAAGUCGACGCUUUCCCUCUUUUUGGGUAUUCGUCUGGUGUGCGCGUGCGUGCGUAUAAAGGGCUUGUCGCAGUGGGGCAGUAGUGUGUGUUUGUGUGUGCCGCAUCGGGACUUGGUGAGUGCGCCGCUUGUGCGGCACUAAUCGCAGCAGCCUCUGCUGUGCGCUGUCGCCGCGCAUGUGGAAUUCCCUUGCGUGCGGUGCCAGCCUGCGCCUAACUGGUGAUGCGGCGAGGCGCCUGGACAGGAAACAAAUGGCGACGGUGAGCGAUGCCCCUGUGAGACUUGUGACCGCCACUGCGGUCGGCUUCUCUCUCUGUUGUUGUUGGUGUUGGUCGUUGCUGGGAUACUGACGUGUGUUGUGGGUGCGCCGGGGCGCUCGUGUUUUUCCCGACAGGGGCAGCGCGCGCGCUCUCGUGUGUUGGGGUUGCUCGCUUCGUUUUAUUAUCAUUAUUAAAUGUGUGCCUCCCUCCCUAAGACGGAGAAAAAAAGCCAACAAAAACUAACCGAAGAGGACAACACAAGAGACACACGUGGUGCCGAUGGACGCCAACACACAAAUAACAAACGAGCCAAGAGAGACUGCCACACAGAGGCCUUAAGACAGCAAAGGGCGCUGGGCGCAGCGAGUCGUGCGUGUGUGUGUUUGUGGUGGUAGUGGUGGUGGCGGUGGGAAAUGCAGUAUGCUACCACCGACUGUCUCGUGUGGCAGCCGUGAUUCCGCCAAGCGACUCCGGCAGCGACAAGGCUGCGUCGCCUUUCGCUUUCUUGCAGGAUACUGUUUGGACGCGCCAUGAAGAAACGCAGGC
Molecule: unclassified non-coding RNA, 1839 nt
Filed under: Leishmania donovani
Lineage: Eukaryota; Euglenozoa; Kinetoplastea; Trypanosomatida; Trypanosomatidae
Description: gene:LdHU3.34.4130(CDS-product:RNA_recognition_mo tif._(a.k.a._RRM_RBD_or_RNP_domain)/RNA_recognition_motif_( a.k.a._RRM_RBD_or_RNP_domain)_putative)
Source: RNAcentral